Molecule: unclassified non-coding RNA, 302 nt
Filed under: Hevea brasiliensis (rubber tree)
Lineage: Eukaryota; Viridiplantae; Streptophyta; Magnoliopsida; Malpighiales; Euphorbiaceae
Source: RNAcentral
UCAUCGAUUGUCUCAAUCACGAGCAUUUCCGGCGAGGCGCAGUGUCAGUGAAUAUCCAGAAGCAACCACGCAAGGCAUCUCCACGUAUUGUCUGCAUCGGAAUGCCGGUGCGCGAUCUGAUUUUCCGCGUGCCGGAAGUGCCUUCGCGCGGGCAGAAAGAAUAUGCCAGCGAGUUCGUCGAGGUGGCCGGCGGCAAUUCGCCCAACGCCGCCAUUUCGAUUUCACGUCUCGGCGGGCGUGUUCUGCUCACUGGUCCGAUCGGCGGGUUGCUGGCCGCGAGCAAUGUCACCAUCAACGACCAG